RNAcentral lists this long non-coding RNA (199 nucleotides) under Sorghum bicolor (sorghum). RNAcentral describes it as "long non-coding RNA (SBIC_LNC004586)". The record is from RNAcentral. Lineage: Eukaryota; Viridiplantae; Streptophyta; Magnoliopsida; Poales; Poaceae.
CUUGGAUCAAACCGACAUAGAUUGUAUGGUUUAGAUUCAUCCUUUAGGUCGGUGGAGAUCUCCCGCAAAGCAGAGUCCUGAUUGGACUCAGGGAGGGGGCGGGCGCCCAGUAGGACAGGGCGGGCGCCCUGUCUCUGGCCCCGUUUCGCCUCCGCUUCGGUCUCGUGGCUUCUGGAGUCUUCUAGAUGUAAGAUAAUUG